This 485-nucleotide ribosomal RNA is filed under the name Salmonella enterica subsp. salamae serovar 56:z10:e,n,x str. 1369-73. Its description in RNAcentral is "bacterial LSU rRNA". It matches the Rfam family "Bacterial large subunit ribosomal RNA", at positions 2462 to 2925 of the family's 2925-position model. The record is from RNAcentral. Lineage: Bacteria; Pseudomonadati; Pseudomonadota; Gammaproteobacteria; Enterobacterales; Enterobacteriaceae.
GGUACUCCGGGGAUAACAGGCUGAUACCGCCCAAGAGUUCAUAUCGACGGCGGUGUUUGGCACCUCGAUGUCGGCUCAUCACAUCCUGGGGCUGAAGUAGGUCCCAAGGGUAUGGCUGUUCGCCAUUUAAAGUGGUACGCGAGCUGGGUUUAGAACGUCGUGAGACAGUUCGGUCCCUAUCUGCCGUGGGCGCUGGAGAACUGAGGGGGCUGCUCCUAGUACGAGAGGACCGGAGUGGACGCAUCACUGGUGUUCGGGUUGUCAUGCCAAUGGCACUGCCCGGUAGCUAAAUGCGGAAGAGAUAAGUGCUGAAAGCAUCUAAGCACGAAACUUGCCCCGAGAUGAGUUCUCCCUGAGACUAUAAGUCUCCUGAAGGAACGUUGAAGACGACGACGUUGAUAGGCCGGGUGUGUAAGCGCAGCGAUGCGUUGAGCUAACCGGUACUAAUGAACCGUGAGGCUUAACCUUACAACGCCGAAGCUGUU